UCCCUGAUAGCUCAGUUGGUAAAGAAUAUGCCUGCAAUGCAAAAGACCCUGGUUCAAUUCCUGGGUGGGGAA
This is a transfer RNA of Ovis aries (sheep), 72 nucleotides long. It matches the Rfam family "tRNA". Rfam says of the family: Transfer RNA (tRNA) molecules are approximately 80 nucleotides in length. Their secondary structure includes four short double-helical elements and three loops (D, anti-codon, and T loops). The record is from Rfam. NCBI's taxonomy places the organism in Eukaryota, Metazoa, Chordata, Mammalia, Artiodactyla, Bovidae.